GGCCUCACAUGAUGGAGAACUGCCUGGGUAGGACUGUGACCGAGCUGGGAUGUAUUUGUACUGGCUGAUGGGGCC
This is a small nucleolar RNA of Cynocephalus volans (Philippine flying lemur), 75 nucleotides long. RefSeq annotates it as small nucleolar RNA ZL2. The transcript has a single exon. The record is from RefSeq and is a predicted model, not a curated record. NCBI's taxonomy places the organism in Eukaryota, Metazoa, Chordata, Mammalia, Dermoptera, Cynocephalidae.